Molecule: long non-coding RNA, 485 nt
Filed under: Nicotiana benthamiana
Lineage: Eukaryota; Viridiplantae; Streptophyta; Magnoliopsida; Solanales; Solanaceae
Description: long non-coding RNA (NBEN_LNC019701)
Source: RNAcentral
AAUCUCCCUAUGAAGUUUUGCAUGGAAAGGCACCAACCUACUCUCAUUUGAGAGCAUUUGGUUGACUUGCCUAUGCUACUGUCCCAAUUCCUCUACCUACUCUCAUUUGAGAGCAUUUUGGUGCCUUGCCUAUCUACUGUUCCAAUUCCUCAAAGGGACAAAUUGAAACCUAGAGCCAUUUCCUGUUUCUUCAUUGGCUAUCCUUUUGCCAAAAAGGGUUAUAAGCUUUAUAACCUUACUUCAAAAAAAAUACUUUGUCUCCAGGGAUGUUAUAUUUCAUGAAACCUACUUUCCUUAUAAGAAUGUUUCAUCUCUUGCUCCUUCUUCCUUUCCCUCAGUUCCUCCUCUUGAGCCUUCCUUCUCUGACACUGACUUGUUGAUACCUGUUUGUUCUUCUCCUCCUCCUCCUUCUGCCACCACUUCUUCUUCUUCUAAUCCAGCCUCCAUUCCUUCCUUCAAUCCUAAUACAUCUCCUCCUAAUUUGC